Molecule: non-coding RNA, 219 nt
Filed under: Natranaerobius trueperi
Lineage: Bacteria; Bacillati; Bacillota; Clostridia; Natranaerobiales; Natranaerobiaceae
Description: T-box sequence
Rfam family: T-box leader
About the family: Uncharged tRNA acts as the effector for transcription antitermination of genes in the T-box leader family. T-boxes are found upstream of many aminoacyl-tRNA synthetase genes and some amino acid biosynthetic genes usually in Gram-positive bacteria.
Source: RNAcentral
AAUACGACUAUGAAGGGGAGAGUAACUAAUAGUCUUAAGUCAUAGCGAGCUGGGGAUGGUGUAAGCCCAGUACUUAAUUAUUAGUGAAGCGCACCCCUGAGUCUAAAGGCUGAACUAGUAGUAGGUCUUUGCGGCAGGCCACCGAUAUCGGCUAAACGAGUGAAUCGAUAUGAUCGAUUAACUAGGGUGGUACCGCGAGAUAACCUCUUCGUCCCUUUA